UAAGAUGAAAUUGUACAGAUCUAGACUUUAUAUAAUAUUUUGCUCAAUUCUACUUCUUUAUUUCGCAGAAUAUUUUUAGUUUUACUACAGUUGAAUCAAAAUCAAAAAUUUCCUUAUGCGGAGUUUCGGAUCUUUUGAAUGUUCAUUUUACAAAUUGUAAUCACGUAAUGAGAAGCUGAGGGCAUACUAUUGCUAGACCAAGACACGGGACUUUGCAAAUACAUAAUUAUAUUCAAUUUCAAACUGGUUUCAGAAGUUUUAUUUGUAUCUUCGUUACCAAAAAGAUAGACAUAUAGCUUAGGUUAGUGUAGAAAAAUAAGAUAAUAUCCACAUUAUAGUGGAUAAUGUUUAAGUAUUCUGAAAUUUUUAACUCGGCAGUCAGACUCGCUACAAUGACACCUAGAAUCGACGCCAUGUUUGUAUUGCUAUGACGUUAAUAGACUUUAGGUGUCAUCACUGGCCAGUAUACAUGAUUUUUAUGUAGGAAUACAUUGUUAAAGAAAUAAGUAUUUAAUAUUUUUUAUUUUAUUCUGUAAAAUAUUUAGGUGGAAGGGGGGUAUUUAAAUAUUAACCUUUCAUUAUAUAGUUUUAAUUGUACAGGUUUAAUGAAGUUCGUGUUAAAAACAUUAUGUCCUUACCGUAGACUUAUGUAAAAAAGGGGGAUUUUAAAAAACGUUUAUUUCUCUAAAAAUAAAGUGAAUUAAAAUAAGUCUUCUUUAUUUUUUACCUAUUUACCUCAAAAUAAGUAGGGAAAAGGGGAAUAACAUCUUAGAAAAAAAAUAAACUAAAGAUUUUAUUAAACACCUUUAUUGCAACAAAAAUCACUAUAAAACAUUGGGGUUUUGCAAAGAAUACAUAAAUUACGAUUAUUUCAUAGAUCAAACAUUAUUUCUAUACAAAAUUGCGAAUUACGCUAUAAAAUAAUAAAAUAUACAAAUGCAAACGUCUACUAUCAUGUACAAAAUAAAGUAUUUUGGAUAUGUAUAUGGAAGAGUUAAGUCCGUACCUGCUAUUCUCAAUACAAGUAUAUGUAUGCAUAUCCAUACUGAGUCUUAACUAAAAUUAUUGCGAUUUUCAAUAAGAUAUUUUAAUUAUAAAGAUGCUUAGCACUUGGUAUACCGGUAACUCAACUCUUUCAUAUUAGAAGCUUUAAAAUGUUCCACAGCUGCCUUGGUUGUUCUAUUUCAUCAUUUAUACAUAGAUAUUACAUGACACUAAAUUAUAAAAUAAUAUUAAAUAUACCAUCAAACAUGUAAGUUCAUUUUACAACAAAAUUAUCUUUUUGUUUUCUAAAUUAAUCUUAAUAAUUACAAUAAUUUCACAAAUCAAACUGGAUGGAAUAAAUACAGUCUAAUUGAAAUAAAUCACAUGAAUUUGAAAAGAAAUUGUCACCAAAUUUGUUAUCUUACUUAAAAUAUUACUACAUAGUAUAAAACAAAGUCGCUACCCGCUGUCUGUAUGAUCUUUACAAUUACGCAACGGAUUUUGAUGCGGUUUUCUAUAAUAAAUAGAGUGAUUCCAGAGGUAUUAGAAGAACACUGAUAGUUUUAGAAGUUUCUAAUGUGGUCUAAAUAAACACAUUUUUUUUGCGCAUAUAUUAUAUUUAUUUUAUAUUUAGUAUUACCAUUGCACUCGUGCGAAGCCAGGGCGGGUCGCUAGUUUAUUAUAUAAACUUAUAAUAUAAAAAUUACAAGACCGGAACUUUUAAGUCAACGGGGUUAUAUGGUAAGGGUUGGAUGUAGAUUUUAGGUAAUAAAAUUUGUAUGUAUAUUUAAGUAGCUUAAAAUAUAUAUAAAAAGCUUGGUGUAGCGUCAGUUCGUUUGUCACUAGGAGAUUCAUAAAGCAGUCGAAGCUAUCACAAACUAUUAGAGCGAAUUGACAGAACAAUAUUUUUUUUGUGUUGACAGAAAUACUUCCUAACACACUGACCAGGACUACUUGAUGUAACAAUUAUUUGUUAUCGAGUCACUGUGAUUUACAAGUUUGGUAAAUCAACCCAUUGUCUUAAAAUGUCUUACUAUUCAAAUAGUACACUAUAUCUGUCAAAAUCAAGAGAGUUUUAAUGAUUGACAACUGAUAUACCAUAUUCAAAUGCAAUACUAGAAUUUUAUGACAGUAACUCGUAAUGACACCUUAAAUCAAGACCAUUAUUUUUAUCUUAAUAAUACAGAAAAAGUUAACAUUUUUUGACAUUGCAUUCAUUCGAAUUACUGGUUAUCUAAAAUGUAUAAAAAGCUUGGAUAAUCGAUAUAGAAUUGAAUAAACAAUAUAUAUUUGAAUAUAAAUCCAAGUUGUCAAUUACUUAUUCAUGACAUAUCUGGUCAGCAUGUUAAUCUACGUUUCCAUACAUUUUAUUUCUUUUCUUCUUCCGAUGUUUGUCUGUCCAGACAAUUUAAAAAAGUAAAAAAAAAGCAUUUUUAAUUUUAAUUAUACAAUAAAGACUUAUUCGUACGUGUGCAUGUUCAUUGAUAAAAGUUGUGUGUCUUAGAAAAUUGAUGUUUCUAGCAAAAUAUCUGUGUAUAAUUACCAUUAAAAUUUAUUUUAUUAUUGUCUAAUGUAUUGUAUAUUGUAAUAUUUAGAAGUUUGAUAAUUGACUUUGUUUUAACUUUUUAUUAAUAAAGACAAGUCUCAAAUCGACACCAGCAAUUUAUACUAAGCUAACUCAUAAAAGAGAACUUUACAUUAGAGCAGGGGUUCCCAAACUUAUUUUGUUUACAGCCCACAAAGAGAAUAAAUUAUUUUAUAGUGCCCCCUUUGAGCAAUCUUUUAAUGAAUAUUAGUUGAUGUUCACAAGUUGUAGUCGAGAGUCCUAAUAGAUUAAAUGAUAAAUCGCCCCCCAAGCCUCUACACAACGGCACCAUUUUUUUUUUCUGGUCUCCCCAUUAGUACUGCAGCGCCCACAAGGGGGCGUUAUCGCCCACUUUGGGAAACACUGCAAUAGAGACUUAUAAUAGGUAAAAACGUGAUACCUUUUAUAUUAAGAAACUUAUUUGCAAUUUGGUAUCUUUAAUAGUUAAUUUAUUCAUUGCAAUUUUACAAUUUUUUUAUUAGAUAUAAAAACACAUUUUAUCAAGUUCGCAUUAAAAAACCAACUUAUCGAGAAUUCGAGUUGGCGUAGUAUAAGUUCGGUAUCGGUAUCUAUCGGUAUUUCAAACAGAGUUAAGACCAAUGAUUGAUAUUUAAUAUGAAUAUACUUUUAAAGGCUUCGUCUGGACAGACAAUAUCUUCUAUGUAUAUGUAGUACAAAAAUAUACAAAUAACACUCAUUACUAAUAUUAUUUAAUUGAUAUCGACCUCUCUAUACUAUUUUCUAUUUCAAAAUUCUAUUUUAUUUAAAACUGACCGACAUUUUGUAUUUCAUUACACUUUUAACGCUCAUUCGUAUAAAAAAUCUUUAAUAUCGUUAUUCUAACAGUGACAAUGACACCCUUUGACGUCAUAUUUCCUUUGUAUUUCGACUGUCCCUAAGUACAGUAUCGAAACUAAAAAAAUUCUAUUUUUUUAUUGCAUGAAAAAACUGUGCUGUGUGGCUACGGCACUAAAGAAAUUAGCCACCCCCUCUCUUCCCGUGGGUGUCGUAAGAGGCGACUAAGGGAUAACAAGGUUCCACAACCACCUUGGAACUUAAGAAGCCGACC
Molecule: unclassified non-coding RNA, 3638 nt
Filed under: Melitaea cinxia (Glanville fritillary)
Lineage: Eukaryota; Metazoa; Arthropoda; Insecta; Lepidoptera; Nymphalidae
Description: misc RNA ENSMCXG00005004425.1
Source: RNAcentral